Molecule: ribosomal RNA, 399 nt
Filed under: Staphylococcus gallinarum
Lineage: Bacteria; Bacillati; Bacillota; Bacilli; Caryophanales; Staphylococcaceae
Description: bacterial SSU rRNA
Rfam family: Bacterial small subunit ribosomal RNA
Source: RNAcentral
AGUGAUGAAGGGUUUCGGCUCGUAAAACUCUGUUAUUAGGGAAGAACAUAUGUGUAAGUAACUGUGCACAUCUUGACGGUACCUAAUCAGAAAGCCACGGCUAACUACGUGCCAGCAGCCGCGGUAAUACGUAGGUGGCAAGCGUUAUCCGGAAUUAUUGGGCGUAAAGCGCGCGUAGGCGGUUUCUUAAGUCUGAUGUGAAAGCCCACGGCUCAACCGUGGAGGGUCAUUGGAAACUGGGAAACUUGAGUGCAGAAGAGGAAAGUGGAAUUCCAUGUGUAGCGGUGAAAUGCGCAGAGAUAUGGAGGAACACCAGUGGCGAAGGCGACUUUCUGGUCUGUAACUGACGCUGAUGUGCGAAAGCGUGGGGAUCAAACAGGAUUAGAUACCCUGGGUAGU